This 558-nucleotide ribosomal RNA is filed under the name uncultured bacterium. RNAcentral's name for it is "bacterial SSU rRNA". It matches the Rfam family "Bacterial small subunit ribosomal RNA", at positions 124 to 668 of the family's 1533-position model. The record is from RNAcentral.
ACCUGCCCUUAAGUGGGGGAUAACAUUUGGAAACAGAUGCUAAUACCGCAUAGAUCCAAGAACCGCAUGGUUCUUGGCUGAAAGAUGGCGUAAGCUAUCGCUUUUGGAUGGACCCGCGGCGUAUUAGCUAGUUGGUGAGGUAACGGCUCACCAAGGCGAUGAUACGUAGCCGAACUGAGAGGUUGAUCGGCCACAUUGGGACUGAGACACGGCCCAAACUCCUACGGGAGGCAGCAGUAGGGAAUCUUCCACAAUGGACGCAAGUCUGAUGGAGCAACGCCGCGUGAGUGAAGAAGGCUUUCGGGUCGUAAAACUCUGUUGUUGGAGAAGAAUGGUCGGCAGAGUAACUGUUGUCGGCGUGACGGUAUCCAACCAGAAAGCCACGGCUAACUACGUGCCAGCAGCCGCGGUAAUACGUAGGUGGCAAGCGUUAUCCGGAUUUAUUGGGCGUAAAGCGAGCGCGGGCGGUUUUUUAAGUCUGAUGUGAAAGCCCUCGGCUUAACCGAGGAAGCGCAUCGGAAACUGGGAAACUUGAGUGCAGAAGAGGACAGUGGAACU